This 647-nucleotide long non-coding RNA is filed under the name Phascolarctos cinereus (koala). RNAcentral's name for it is "lncRNA (ENSPCIG00000032411.1)". The record is from RNAcentral. Lineage: Eukaryota; Metazoa; Chordata; Mammalia; Diprotodontia; Phascolarctidae.
CUGGGGAGGUUAGCCAGGGAGGCCUUUUCAUUUCUGCUGGCCCAUGACGGUGAACUAACUUAUAGGAGAUGGUACUGCCUUCCAGAAAAUUUUGGAGAGGGGGUACAGUUAUCACAGCUUCCCAGUUCUGGGUCCAAGAAUCCUCCAGAAGAGCCCCCAUCAGUGUGGACUUCACCUUCAUGUUAGGGUGCCCUGGGACACCAAGGAGAUCUGCCUUGCCUAUUGUCCAAUAGCUCAUAUGUGUUCCACGAGAGAUUUGAACCUUGAGAAAUUCUCCACUCUGAUGAGAUCAUAAGACCAGCCAAAGCAAAACAAAUCCAGUCGAGACCAGGCCAAUCAAGACCAGAGAAGCCUCACCGAAGCAUGGAAGCCCAAACUCCUGGGCUGUACUGCCUGACCUCUGAGAAUUUUGGGGAUUCUACCCCGUAAGCCACUGUAGGAAGUGACUGCCCCUCUCCAUUUUGUUUCUGUCAAUGAAUUGCAGGGUCAUUUCCACAGAGUGAAUCACAGAACUGAUUGACAGCUGCUCUUUCCCAGGCAGGCUGCCGCCCUGGGUGCAGGCUGCCAGGUAUGGUGCUGCCUCAUUUCCAUUCAGCUGAGACUUACUGGUCUUUCAUCUCCAUAGCCCAGGCAUCCUCUCUUUCCUC